This 301-nucleotide ribosomal RNA is filed under the name uncultured bacterium. RNAcentral describes it as "partial 16S ribosomal RNA". It matches the Rfam family "Bacterial small subunit ribosomal RNA", at positions 509 to 807 of the family's 1533-position model. The record is from RNAcentral.
CAGUCGCCACGGGAAUACGUAGGGUGCAAGCGUUAAUCGGAAUUACUGGGCGUAAAGCGUGCGCAGGCGGUUUGUUAAGACAGAUGUGAAAUCCCCGGGCUCAACCUGGGAACUGCAUUUGUGACUGGCAAGCUAGAGUCUGGCAGAGGGGGGUGGAAUUCCGCGUGUAGCAGUGAAAUGCGUAGAUAUGCGGAGGAACACCGAUGGCGAAGGCAGCCCCCUGGGCCAACACUGACGCUCAUGCACGAAAGCGUGGGGAGCAAACAGGAUUAGAUACCCCCGUAGUCCCUGUCUCUUAUAC